UGUUUUUGGUUAUUACCUUGAAUAUUAUUAUAGAUAGAGAUAAACUGUAAACAACAAUAAUGUCCAGCAAAGUAAGAUCUACAAAUAAGUCAACAUGACCAAAAUGGUCAGUUGACCCUGAAGGAGUAAUUGCCCUUUAUAGUCAUUUUUUACCAUUUUUUUGUAAAUUUUUGUAAUCUUUUACAAAAAUCUUCUCCUCUGAAACUACUGGGCCAAACUUAACCAAACUUAGCCACAAUCGUUAUUAGGGUAUCUAGUUUAAAAAAUGUGUCCGGUGACCCGGCCAACCAACCAAGAUAGCCACCAUGGCUAUCAAUA
Molecule: long non-coding RNA, 318 nt
Filed under: Mytilus galloprovincialis (Mediterranean mussel)
Lineage: Eukaryota; Metazoa; Mollusca; Bivalvia; Mytilida; Mytilidae
Source: RNAcentral